AAUCUGAUUCUCCCAUUCACCUCUCUCCUCCCUCUUCUCCCACAUCUGUGCAGCUCCCUUUUUCUGUCACCGUCCCAAUUGAUUCAGCCUUCCCUUCUGCCAGCUCACCUCCUGCUUUGGCUUCUUCUCCUUCUCUUCUUGCUCCCAGAAAAUCUCAAAUACAGCAUAAUCCUCCUUCCUAUCUCAAGGAUUAUGUAUGUCAACUACCUGCCUUCUCUGGUUCAUCUUCCUCCUCUUUGGAAUCUGAGCCUCUGUAUUACUCUCAUACAGCAUCUGUUCCAGCAUGGCAAGCUGCCAUGAGACAGGAGUUUGAAGAUCUGGACACUAACCAUACUUGGG
RNAcentral lists this long non-coding RNA (339 nucleotides) under Nicotiana benthamiana. Its description in RNAcentral is "long non-coding RNA (NBEN_LNC038588)". Lineage: Eukaryota; Viridiplantae; Streptophyta; Magnoliopsida; Solanales; Solanaceae. The record is from RNAcentral.